This 691-nucleotide ribosomal RNA is filed under the name Salmonella enterica. RNAcentral describes it as "bacterial SSU rRNA". It matches the Rfam family "Bacterial small subunit ribosomal RNA", at positions 831 to 1522 of the family's 1533-position model. The record is from RNAcentral. RNAcentral also lists the same sequence under 1 other name. Lineage: Bacteria; Pseudomonadati; Pseudomonadota; Gammaproteobacteria; Enterobacterales; Enterobacteriaceae.
CUUGAGGCGUGGCUUCCGGAGCUAACGCGUUAAGUAGACCGCCUGGGGAGUACGGCCGCAAGGUUAAAACUCAAAUGAAUUGACGGGGGCCCGCACAAGCGGUGGAGCAUGUGGUUUAAUUCGAUGCAACGCGAAGAACCUUACCUGGUCUUGACAUCCACAGAACUUUCCAGAGAUGGAUUGGUGCCUUCGGGAACUGUGAGACAGGUGCUGCAUGGCUGUCGUCAGCUCGUGUUGUGAAAUGUUGGGUUAAGUCCCGCAACGAGCGCAACCCUUAUCCUUUGUUGCCAGCGAUUAGGUCGGGAACUCAAAGGAGACUGCCAGUGAUAAACUGGAGGAAGGUGGGGAUGACGUCAAGUCAUCAUGGCCCUUACGACCAGGGCUACACACGUGCUACAAUGGCGCAUACAAAGAGAAGCGACCUCGCGAGAGCAAGCGGACCUCAUAAAGUGCGUCGUAGUCCGGAUUGGAGUCUGCAACUCGACUCCAUGAAGUCGGAAUCGCUAGUAAUCGUGGAUCAGAAUGCCACGGUGAAUACGUUCCCGGGCCUUGUACACACCGCCCGUCACACCAUGGGAGUGGGUUGCAAAAGAAGUAGGUAGCUUAACCUUCGGGAGGGCGCUUACCACUUUGUGAUUCAUGACUGGGGUGAAGUCGUAACAAGGUAACCGUAGGGGAACCUGCGGUUGGA